GAACCAUCUAGUAGCUGGUACAUUCCCCUAGUAACGGCGAGUGAAGCGGGAACAGCUCAAAUUUGAAAUCUGGCCCUUGGGUCCGAGUUGUAAUUUGCAGAGGAUGCUUUUGGUGCGGUGCCUUCCGAGUUCCCUGGAACGGGACGCCUUAGAGGGUGAGAGCCCCGUACGGUUGGCCACCAAGCCUGUGUAAAGCUCCUUCGACGAGUCGAGUAGUUUGGGAAUGCUGCUCAAAAUGGGAGGUAUAUUUCUUCUAAAGCUAAAUACUGGCCAGAGACCGAUAGCGCACAAGUAGAGUGAUCGAAAGAUGAAAAGCACUUUGAAAAGAGGGUUAAAUAGCACGUGAAAUUGUUGAAAGGGAAGGAUUUAUGACCAGACUUUUUCUGGGGGGAUCAUCCGGUGUUCUCACCGGUGCACUUCCCCCAGUGGAGGCCAGCAUCGGUUUCUGCCGGGGGAUAAAAGCUUCGGGAAUGUGGCUCCUUCGGGAGUGUUAUAGCCCGUUGCAUAAUACCCUGGCGGGGACCGAGGUUCGCGCAUUGCAAGGAUGCUGGCGUAAUGGUUAUUAAUCACCCGUCUUGAAACACGGACCAAGGAGUCGAACAUUUGUGCGAGUGUUUGGGUGUUAAACCCUCACGCGUAAUGAAAGUGAACGGAGGUGAGAGCCCCUCGGGGUGCAUCAUCGACCGAUCCUGAUGUCUUCGGAUGGAUUUGAGUAAGAGCAUAACUGUUCGGACCCGAAAGAUGGUGAACUAUGCGUGGAUAGGGUGAAGCCAGAGGAAACUCUGGUGGAGGCUCGCAGCGGUUCUGACGUGCAAAUCGAUCGUCAAAUCUGCGCAUGGGGGCGAAAGACUAAUCAUAUCAAUAAGCGGAGGAAAAGAAACCCAACAGGG
Molecule: ribosomal RNA, 890 nt
Filed under: Apiospora euphorbiae
Lineage: Eukaryota; Fungi; Ascomycota; Sordariomycetes; Amphisphaeriales; Apiosporaceae
Description: Arthrinium euphorbiae partial large subunit ribosomal RNA
Rfam family: Eukaryotic large subunit ribosomal RNA
Source: RNAcentral